Molecule: transfer RNA, 74 nt
Filed under: Nocardia otitidiscaviarum
Lineage: Bacteria; Bacillati; Actinomycetota; Actinomycetes; Mycobacteriales; Nocardiaceae
Rfam family: tRNA
About the family: Transfer RNA (tRNA) molecules are approximately 80 nucleotides in length. Their secondary structure includes four short double-helical elements and three loops (D, anti-codon, and T loops).
Source: Rfam by way of RNAcentral
GUGUCCGUAGCUCAGCCGGAAAGAGCGCCUGCCUACGAAGCAGGAGGCCGGGGGUUCGAAUCCUCCCGGGCACA